GGGGAAAGAAGACCUGUUGAGUUUGACUCUAAUCUGGCAAUGUAAGGAGACCUAAAAGGUGUAGCAUAAGUGGGAGAUAUUAAAUGUUCGAUAUUAGAUAUCAACAACGAAAUCCACUACUCUUAUUGUUUCCUUACUUACUUGAUUAAAUGGAAGGUGUAUUAUAUAGAUAGCCAUUCUUAAAAUGUGUUUAUAUGUAUUCAUGGUAUGUUGUUUGGAUACGAGUUUCUUGUAUAAAAUAUUAUGAUUGGUUAUACAUACCAAACAAAUUAUAAUGAAAUUAUAAUUUAGCUUUUAUGUGAAUUUUAAAAUAUUAGUUUAAUUCGGUAUAACUCUUAUAACUUAGAUAUGAUCCAAUUCAAGGACAUUUCCAGGUAGGGAGUUUGACUGGGGCGGUACAUCUCUCAAAUAAUAACGGAGGUGUCCCAAGGCCAGCUCAGUGCGGACAGAAACCACACAUAGAGCAAAAGGGCAAAUGCUGACUUGAUCUCGGUAUUCAGUACAUACAGAGACAGCAAAAGCUCGGCCUAUCGAUCCUUUUGGUUUAAAGAGUUUUUAACAAGAGGUGUCAGAAAAAUUACCACAGGGAUAACUGGCUUGUGGCGGCCAACCGUUCAUAGCGACGUCGCUUUUUGAUCCUUCGAUGUCGGCUCUUCCUAUCAUUGUGAAGCAAAAUUCACCAAGCGUUGGAUUGUUCACCCAUACAAGGGAACGUGAGCUGGGUUUAGACCGUCGCGAGACAGGUUAGUUUUACCCUACUGAUGACAAAUAUAGUUAUUACAACAGCAUUCCUGCGUAGUACGAGAGGAACCGCAGGUACGGACAAUUGGUACAAUACUUGUUCGAGAGAACAGUGGUAUG
RNAcentral lists this ribosomal RNA (861 nucleotides) under Atherix variegata. Its description in RNAcentral is "eukaryotic LSU rRNA". It matches the Rfam family "Eukaryotic large subunit ribosomal RNA", at positions 2399 to 3095 of the family's 3401-position model. The record is from RNAcentral. Lineage: Eukaryota; Metazoa; Arthropoda; Insecta; Diptera; Athericidae.